UUAAGUUUCAGAACAAACGGAUUCAGACUUUCAGUGGGUGCAGAUCAACAGUUGCGCAACUUUCUUGCAGACAUGUCAACCAUUGCCGUUUUCCUUUCCCUUCCGAUCUUCGCAAGCUUUUGCAGACGAGCUCAAAGUGAGGCCUGGAGAAGAUUCCAUUCUUCAGUGUCAGGGUCCUGGAGGUGAUGUCAUCAUCCUGUUCGAGUGGAGAAGAUCUGAUCUCAAGUCAGACACCUAUGUGUUCUUCUUCUGAAACCAGCGUCCAUAUGAAAACUACCAGCAUGAGUUCUUCAAAGGCCGAGUGGAGCUGAGAGAUCCAUCCAUGAAGGACGGAGACGUUUCAGUGAUUCUGAAGAAUGUCAGCACCAGCGAUACAGGAACAUACGAGUGUGAGAUUACAGCCAGGAAUAAAGAAGGUGUCACAACUGAGACUAAGCACUCUGUCAACCUCACAGUCACCACCUCAGGUUUCAUAGAUGAAGACACCAAGGAUGGAGGAGACAAGGAUGGAAGAGACAGGGAUAAGUUGCUUCCUUUCAUAAUACUUCUUUGGUUUUUAUUUUCUUUAUAAUAAUUAGUUAUUUGCAUACAUAGCCACAGAAAACAGCAUAGAAAUUAUCUGCAGCUAACAGCAAAUGUUAAACAGCUGAUGUAAAAUGCCUGAGGUCUGUGUACUGCUGAAUGAUUGGAGGUCCUGCUGUUCCAUAAAGAUGUGAAUGUGUUUGAAAAGGUGUGAUUUUAAUCUUUACUCUCAAACACUUAAACAGCUGAAAGAAUAAAAACUAAAACUGUCAGGAGCAGGUUAAGCAUGACUUUACUAAAUCCAGUGAAUGGAGCACAAACUGUAGAUGAUUUGAAGCUGAAACCCAGAACAUAAUCUCCUCCUGACAGUUUAUUUUUAUCCUUUCAGCUGCAUUUUAAAUAUAACAACAAAAUUCAAAUUCAAAUUUGAUAUGAAGCCAGCAAGUGCAGUGCAGGUGUCCUGUUUUUGAUUGUUUAGAACAAUCAAACAGGCGUAAAAUUGUUUGCUGCUAAAACAAAAAGAAGAUCAACGAGUAAAGUUGAGUUUAGAAAUUUAAAUUUAGACCCUCCUACUCUCACUACAGAUGUCCGAGGGAUCUUCCAUGAAUUAUGAUGCUAUUUUCCAGAGAAUUGAUUGGUCAGUAGGCUGUGAUGUUUAUAACUGUUGAUUUCACACAACAUAAGUUACCAUGACGAUUUACCCCGGUAAGAAGAAAACCACGUUUAGUACAGAAAACCCUGAAGUUACCUGAAUACGGCAAAAUCAGUGGUUUGUACUGUAUGUUUCAUUGCAUUGUUAUUCUACUUCUUUGUUAGUCAGUGGUUUGUUUGUUUGUCAGGACAUUGCGAACCACAUUUUUUUUUUUUUUUUUUUUUUUUUUUUUUU
Long non-coding RNA from Oreochromis aureus, 1408 nucleotides. RefSeq lists it as uncharacterized. The record is from RefSeq and is a predicted model, not a curated record. The transcript is spliced from 3 exons. NCBI's taxonomy places the organism in Eukaryota, Metazoa, Chordata, Actinopteri, Cichliformes, Cichlidae.